AAUGAACGCUGGCGGUAGGCCUAACACAUGCGAGUCGAACGGCAGCACAGUAAGAGCUUGCUCUUACGGGUGGCGAGUGGCGGACGGGUGAGGAAUACAUCGGAAUCUACUUUUUCGUGGGGGAUAACGUAGGGAAACUUACGCUAAUACCGCAUACGACCUACGGGUGAAAGCAGGGGAUCUUCGGACCUUGCGCGAUUGAAUGAGCCGAUGUCGGAUUAGCUAGUUGGCGGGGUAAAGGCCCACCAAGGCGACGAUCCGUAGCUGGUCUGAGAGGAUGAUCAGCCACACUGGAACUGAGACACGGUCCAGACUCCUACGGGAGGCAGCAGUGGGGAAUAUUGGACAAUGGGCGCAAGCCUGAUCCAGCCAUACCGCGUGGGUGAAGAAGGCCUUCGGGUUGUAAAGCCCUUUUGUUGGGAAAGAAAAGCAGCAGGUUAAUACCCCGCUGUUCUGACGGUACCCAAAGAAUAAGCACCGGCUAACUUCGUG
This 492-nucleotide ribosomal RNA is filed under the name uncultured bacterium. RNAcentral describes it as "partial 16S ribosomal RNA". It matches the Rfam family "Bacterial small subunit ribosomal RNA", at positions 29 to 507 of the family's 1533-position model. The record is from RNAcentral.